GACUAUGAUAUUGUCAAGUCAUCUAUAAUACAUAUAUUAUAGAUGACUUGACAAUAUCACAGUA
This is a non-coding RNA of Xyrichtys novacula (pearly razorfish), 64 nucleotides long. The record is from the annotation of a GenBank genome assembly. NCBI's taxonomy places the organism in Eukaryota, Metazoa, Chordata, Actinopteri, Labriformes, Labridae.